This 305-nucleotide ribosomal RNA is filed under the name uncultured bacterium. RNAcentral's name for it is "bacterial SSU rRNA". It matches the Rfam family "Bacterial small subunit ribosomal RNA", at positions 333 to 635 of the family's 1533-position model. The record is from RNAcentral.
CGUUCCCUACGGGAGGCAGCAGUGAGGAAUAUUGGUCAAUGGUCGGGAGACUGAACCAGCCAAGCCGCGUGAGGGAUGAAGGUACAGAGUAUCGUAAACCUCUUUUGUCAGGGAACAAAGGCGGGGACGUGUCCCCGGAUGAGUGUACCUGAAGAAAAAGCAUCGGCUAACUCCGUGCCAGCAGCCGCGGUAAUACGGAGGAUGCGAGCGUUAUCCGGAUUUAUUGGGUUUAAAGGGAGCGUAGGUGGAUUGUUAAGUCAGUUGUGAAAGUUUGCGGCUCAACCGUAAAAUUGCAGUUGAAACUG